This 333-nucleotide long non-coding RNA is filed under the name Linum usitatissimum (flax). RNAcentral's name for it is "long non-coding RNA (LUSI_LNC001228)". The record is from RNAcentral. Lineage: Eukaryota; Viridiplantae; Streptophyta; Magnoliopsida; Malpighiales; Linaceae.
CAUCAUGAAAUCUCGAGUCAGUGGAUCGUUGGAAAACGUCCCAGAUGGCUUACCCACCACAGCACAAUCUGUACCUGAUAAUGAUUCACCACUCACACUACACUUCAUAGAACAAGAAUCGGUUCCUGAUAAUGAUUCAAGUGCGUCAGAGUACUUGUCGUCAUCUUCUUCUUCUUCAUCAUCUUCUUCACCAUCAUUAGCAUUAGUAAUAGCAGCAGUCGCUUUGUAUUUCAAAGCACUGGACGAUUUCUGCUUGGGCAGUGUUACAGAUGUCUGAACUUUGAGUCCUCUCUUGUCGUCCUGAUUCUUCACAAUACCCGGAACCCAUCUGAU